Molecule: ribosomal RNA, 636 nt
Filed under: bacterium SCSIO13139
Lineage: Bacteria
Description: bacterial SSU rRNA
Rfam family: Bacterial small subunit ribosomal RNA
Source: RNAcentral
UGCAGUCGAGCGAACAGAUGAAGUGCUUGCACUUCUGACGUUAGCGGCGAACGGGUGAGUAACACGUAAGGAAUCUACCUAUAAGCGGGGGAUAACAUUCGGAAACGGGUGCUAAUACCGCAUAAUAUCUUCUUCCGCAUGGAAGAAGAUUGAAAGACGGCUCUGCUGUCACUUAUAGAUGACCUUGCGGUGCAUUAGUUAGUUGGUGGGGUAACGGCCUACCAAGACGAUGAUGCAUAGCCGACCUGAGAGGGUGAUCGGCCACAUUGGGACUGAGACACGGCCCAAACUCCUACGGGAGGCAGCAGUAGGGAAUCUUCCGCAAUGGGCGAAAGCCUGACGGAGCAAUGCCGCGUGAGUGAAGAAGGCCUUCGGGUCGUAAAACUCUGUUAUAAGAGAAGAACAAAUUGUAGAGUAACUGCUACAGUCUUGACGGUAUCUUAUCAGAAAGCCACGGCUAACUACGUGCCAGCAGCCGCGGUAAUACGUAGGUGGCAAGCGUUGUCCGGAUUUAUUGGGCGUAAAGGGAGCGCAGGUGGUUUCUUAAGUCUGAUGUGAAAGCCCACGGCUUAACCGUGGAGGGUCAUUGGAAACUGGGAAACUUGAGUACAGAAGAGGAAUGUGGAACUCCAUGUG